CCCUUCAGAGGGGGACAACAGUUGGAAACGACUGCUAAUACCGCAUACGAUCUAAUCUCGGCAUCGAGGAUAGAUGAAAGGUGGCCUCUACAUGUAAGCUAUCACUGAAGGAGGGGAUUGCGUCUGAUUAGCUAGUUGGAGGGGUAACGGCCCACCAAGGCGAUGAUCGGUAGCCGGACUGAGAGGUUGAACGGCCACAUUGGGACUGAGACACGGCCCAG
Molecule: ribosomal RNA, 221 nt
Filed under: uncultured bacterium
Lineage: Bacteria
Description: partial 16S ribosomal RNA
Rfam family: Bacterial small subunit ribosomal RNA
Source: RNAcentral